RNAcentral lists this ribosomal RNA (492 nucleotides) under uncultured bacterium. RNAcentral describes it as "partial 16S ribosomal RNA". It matches the Rfam family "Bacterial small subunit ribosomal RNA", at positions 29 to 507 of the family's 1533-position model. The record is from RNAcentral.
AGUGAACGCUGGCGGUAGGCCUAACACAUGCAAGUCGAACGGCAGCACCGUAAGAGCUUGCUCUUACGGGUGGCGAGUGACGGACGGGUGAGGAAUACAUCGGAAUCUACUUUUUCGUGGGGGAUAACGUAGGGAAACUUACGCUAAUACCGCAUACGACCUACGGGUGAAAGCAGGGGAUCUUCGGACCUUGCGCGAUUGAAUGAGCCGAGGUCGGAUUAGCUAGUUGGCGGGGUAAAGGCCCACCAAGGCGACGAUCCGUAGCUGGUCUGAGAGGAUGAUCAGCCACACUGGAGCUGAGACACGGUCCAGACUCCUACGGGAGGCAGCAGUGGGGAAUAUUGGACAAUGGGCGCAAGCCUGAUCCAGCCAUACCGCGUGGGUGAAGAAGGCCUUCGGGUUGUAAAGCCCUUUUGUUGGGAAAGAAAAGCAGCAGGUUAAUACCCCGCUGUUCUGACGGUACCCAAAGAAUAAGCACCGGCUAACUUCGUG